UAAAGGUUAAAACUGCUGAGUGCUGGGUUGUGAAACACUUCCCUUGAGAACUGAUAAAAAGCAUGCACUUCUGCACAACCUCUUCCUACACAUGUGGCCUAGAGUGAAAAAAUACAUCCAAGACAGCUCAACUGAGAUGGAAUUAAAAUAAUGAUUUAAAAAAAAAAAAAAAAAGAUCCAUCCAAAGGAGGUGAAAAUGAGGAAUGUUAGUUUAUACAAGCAAUAUUUUAAAUUUGCAUGCUGGUUAUAAACAUGAGUAAUUCGAUGCAACGGCUUGUUUUGAUGUCAACAAGGCCGAUCGGAUAAAAAGUGACCCGCUGAGAUGUCUGAUUAAUGGUGGUAGGGUCGCAGAGCAGACGCCAAUAUGCAAUGCCAUAUGGAUGAGAUCACAUGGUCAGGUGUCUUAAACUAUGGCUAGCAAUUAUCAGUGUCAGCAGGGUCUCUGCUGGCUCGAGUGGAUGCCACACUGACUCAUAAACACAUGUGCAGGCGGUUUGGCGCUAAUAGUGUAUGGUGUGUUCACUCAUCUGUGUAAGAGGCCCUUUAGCACAGCUUGUCUCGUUCUAAUUCAAGAGCUUAAGCUCGCUUUUUAUGCCAGAAGCCAUGACUGUACACUGUUACACUUUACACAGACUGAAGAACAUAUCACAUCUUGCUCCAUUUGCUCUAACACUCACUGAGUUUGUUCAGCAGCCUAUAAAUGUUAAAUAAAAGGCCACUAUUUGAAUAGCGUGUGAUGUCAUGUUCAGUAUUGCAUAUUGCAUUCCACACUUUUCACAUCUGAUUUGCCCGAUCUGAGAGUGUGAUCUGAGUCACGAAGCAUUAAGCGAGCUGACAUACUUGUAUUAUUCAUUAGUGUGGCACACAUAACUGGCGUUGUCAUUGACAACCGCUUGACAACAGAGUUUGUACACAGCGGUACAUUAAGCAACGAGGCCAAAUGCACUGAGGCAAGAAUGUUUCCUGAUCACAAGCUCAUUGGUGCAUGAAACACUUUCUGUUUCUCUUAAAUGCAUGUUUUUGGAAGAAAUAAGGAAUUUGGUUUGUGAGCCUAGACGGCUGAAUAGACCUGCUGUACAAAUUUGGGACUUUCCAGAAAACAAUGAGGAUCACAUGAACAUGUUGAGGAGCACAUUAUGAAAAGUUACAGGAUCAUGCUGCAGGCAGGUUGUGAAUGUUAUUUCAUCUUCACUCUGAAGAACACUUCUGGUGUUUCCUCGAAAACCUGCACGAGUAUACCACAAACAUCAAUCUGUAUGCAGGACUUAUGCAGAAAGCAUCACCACCUGACACUUACCCAAGCCUGGAAAACCAAUUAAAAGUAAAAGAAAACACCAAAAAACAGCUACCAAUAGCACGUUUACAGCCGAUUGGAGAAACAGCAGUGAUGGAAGGCUUCUUUUUUUUAUUGCCCAGACAAGUGUCUAGACCUUCCCUUACAUUCUGAACAUUAAAAUAAAUAAAUAAAUAAAUAAAUAAAAGAUUUGUCCCUUUUUUCUACAUUUGCAGCUUGAUUUACUACAUGCCUGGCAAUCAAGAGAGCAACUGAGCUCUGGAGAAUGCUUUUUGAAGUGUAAGGAAAUUCAUUGCAGGUCGAAGGGCCAGUUCUGUACAGCAAGCCUCAUUUGAAUUAUUUCCACACACCUGAACAGCACUACAGGAAGCUAAUAUUACAAAAUCACCCAGUGGGAAUGACAGCUGAAAACUGGUUCAGUCUGGCAUAAACAAGGACAUGUCAAUGACACAAAGACGACUGUCAAUUAAACAUAAUCACAGAGUAUAAAGUCUGCAUUAAACCAGAUUACAUCUUGAUACCAUCUAGUGUUGCUUGCUAUCAAGACUGUCUGAAGGCCUGAACAGCAUGUAAGACAUGUAAAGCCAAGGGGAUUUUCCAACCAAGUAGUGAAAGUGAAAGCACACAGUUACUUUUAUUGUAAGCUGUUUUACAGUUUCAUUUAAACUCUUCCCUGAAGUUUCACAAGGUGACAAGCUGUUUUUCAAAAUAAUUAUUUUUCAUAUAUUUGUCUGCUGGUUGUCCAGCGGCGGGAUCCCGAGCUCUCCCUGACGUGGCCCCGGUUUGCUUCCCGGGCAGGGAGCUAACCCAGCCACUGAAGAAUUAACUCUCAGUUAUGGUCCCAAGCCCGGAUUAAAUGGGAGAGUUGCGUCAGAAGGGCAUCCGGCGUAAAACCUGUGCCAAAUCGAAACUUGCUGACCAAAUGAUCUGCUGUGGCAACCCCAAACAGGGAGCAGCUGAAAGAACAACAACAUUUAUCAUAUCUUCACCUUCCUUAUAAGGUAGCAAGCUAAUCCCUUCUGAGCACAUGUCAAAUUAAUAUAAAAAACCUUGCUUUGUGUCACACAAUUCAGGUUUUUAUACCAUGCAACUUCAUUUAACAUCUAGAUUUCUCAUUCUUGAGUCUGAUGAUAGCAUACAGAAAUGUUGCAUCAUAUUUGUUACUUGACUACCAUCAUAUCAUCUUCCUCCAAUAGGUGUGUUAUACAGGUUAAAUUUAUUUUGUAGGCGAAGUCCAUCUACUGUAUACAAAGCAAUGACUAAGACAUCCUUUCUAUCCAACCCACUUUGAGUAGGUGGUACAUUCAGUGACUGUAUAAAGUGUGUAUAACCUGUAGGAGGACAUAUUCUAUAAACAGUAGCAUGCUAUGAGAAGCACAUGCCGUCACCCGUGACAUGAUUGUGUAGUGGAUAAACUUGGGUCUUUCAUCAGAGCUUCCUCACAUCCUCCACCAAACACUCCUAACAAGUGUUCAGUGGAUCCACAUAAUGAGGACAUCAGUAACUUCAUCUCCAUCUGCUAACAACCAUCCUGAGGAAAUACUCAGCACAUCCAAUUAAUCUACUAACAUCCAUCCUGAGUGGCUAUCCAUGCUUCCAUACCCUGGAGAUCAGGGCUUUCAAACAGGCUCCUACAAGCCGUACAGAUGAGAUCAUCAUUGCUUUCACUCAGUCCCUUUCACACCCAUCCUGAUGUGGUUGUUUCGGUGGAAAUUUAGGGUGUGGGGAGAGCCUUGCAAUCUUACAAGAUCUAGAGUUUAGCUGAACAGUAUAACAGUAUACUCUGGGGAAAAACCCAGUAUAGAUGAAUAGUGUACUUCGGAGAAAAAUAUCCAUUCUAAAUGAACAGCGUACUUUCAGAAAAGACCUACAGUCUAGAUGAAGAGUGUACUUCAAAUAAAUAUCUUCAUUCUAGAUGAACAAAGAUCUCCAUUCUAGGUGACCAGUGUAUGUUGAAGAAAGUUCUCCACUAAGUUGUAAAAAUAUCUUCAGUCUAGAUUAAUAGUGCACUUUGGGGAAAGACCUACAUUCCGGAUGAACAGUGUACAUUGGGAAAUGAUUUAUAGUGUAGUUAAACAGUGUACUUUAGGAAAAACUCUACAGUCUAGUUGAACAGUAUUCAAUGGGGAAACCCUUGAGUCAUAGCAGGAAAGAAAGCCAACCAUGAUGACCAACCUCCUAAACUUAGUAGUAGCAACUACUGCUGAGUAUAAGUUGAGGUUAAACAGCAACAUCUCCAUGGUUACUGAUGCCUACCAUUUUAUCAAUGGUUCCUGAUGUGAGACUCCCAGGAGUCUUUGAUAUGCACAUAUGAAGUCUGUUACAGGAGACUUAAGGCACAAGAAGGUGGACAGGGUGUAUUAUUAUACAAUACAAGAAACUGUGUUUCAUUUGGGAAGCUCAUUAACUUGAAAAGAAACAUAAAUAAUGUCAAAUUAAAAUAAGUAAGCAAUAACCAAAACAACACAAAUAAAAUCUAACUGCAAUUGCAAGUCAAAGACUGCAAAAAUUUUAAUAUCCUCCACUUUGUCUAUGUAAAUUCUUGAAUGUGGCUGCGCAUUGAUUCUCUUGAGAGACUUUCCGCUGUUCUUUAAAACAAAGGGCUUGCUUGAGGUCAAUAUCAGCGCCGCUAUACGUAAUGACUGUCUAUCAGAUUGUGUCUGUUGGUGUGGUCAUAUCAAAACACCGUUCUUUCUUUGUUGGCUAGGACACUGUUCCCAUGGUGACAGGCUGUAGCUAUAAACAGAGAGAGGAGGAAGUGGAGGAGGAAGUGGCUCAGCACAGAUGACGCAAGCAGCCCGAGCUCUUAUGUAGACCCACACGUAAUCGGUCUACAUGUGUUUUCCAGGUGUUGCAGAGUUUAAAUUUUUAGAAUGGAUGGCUGACUACAUUCAUGCAUAGAAGAAUCUUGUGUAUAGAUGCAUUUGGAAAAGGUUGCAAGAACCGAAUUGCUUACAGUCGAUUCAUUUGAACUCACUUUACAGUUGAUUCGUUUAAAGUGUUUUGUUUGCCGUGCCCUGGAUUUUGCUCCUAGAGAGCCACAAGUUUCCAAAAUGAUCCAGACGUGCAUGGAAAUUAUCCAUAGCAAACACACACUCCUCAGUGUGUUAAACGGUCUCCCUCCUCCCUAAGCCCAGCUUCCUGUGUCAAAACGACCACAUCACACCCAAAUGCUGCGAGGAACAUUUACUAAAGCCUACUCUCAUGCAACCACUGGUUAGUUUAGGUAGAGAAGUCAUGAGUUCGAGAAGCUGAUUGGCUUCUUAGAAUGUCAUACCAUUGCUACCCACACCCAUUUUUGGAGUCAGACCCACACAUAAGAGGAUUAUGUCAUGCUUCUUUGUUAUUUUGGGUAGGGUGAUGGAGCUCACAGUGAAAUCAUUCAUAUUCACACCUACUUUCAAUGGCUUAUUUCAUAUGUUCUCUGAACAGGGCUGUAAUAGUUAGGCUGAAAAAAACAACAACUAAGGUUAUAGUUCAGCUAAACUUGGACACUGUUUAAACCAAGUUUGCAUUUUUCAACCAUGAAUCACUUGCCAGUGAAACCCACCCAAAUAAUGGUGGAAAAAUAAAGCCUGGUGUAAA
This is a long non-coding RNA of Hemibagrus wyckioides, 4879 nucleotides long. RefSeq lists it as uncharacterized. The transcript is spliced from 3 exons. Lineage: Eukaryota; Metazoa; Chordata; Actinopteri; Siluriformes; Bagridae. The record is from RefSeq and is a predicted model, not a curated record.